AACGAACGCUGGCGGCAGGCUUAACACAUGCAAGUCGAACGCGUGCAGCAAUGCACGAGUGGCGCACGGGUGAGUAACGCGUGGAUAUCUGCCUUUUGGUUCGGAAUAACCCCGGGAAACUGGGGCUAAUACCGGAUGGUUCCUGCGGGAUAAAGAUUUAUCGCCAAAAGAUGAGUCCGCGUACGAUUAGCUAGUUGGUGAGGUAAUGGCUCACCAAGGCGACGAUCGUUAGCUGGUCUGAGAGGACGAUCAGCCACACUGGGACUGAGACACGGCCCAGACUCCUACGGGAGGCAGCAGUGGGGAAUAUUGGACAAUGGGGGCAACCCUGAUCCAGCCAUGCCGCGUGAGUGAUGAAGGCCUUCGGUUGUAAAGCUCUUUUGGUCGGGACGAUGAUGACGGUACCGCAGAAUAAGCCCCGGCUAACUUCGUGCCAGCAGCCGCGGUAA
RNAcentral lists this ribosomal RNA (449 nucleotides) under uncultured bacterium. RNAcentral's name for it is "bacterial SSU rRNA". It matches the Rfam family "Bacterial small subunit ribosomal RNA", at positions 29 to 523 of the family's 1533-position model. The record is from RNAcentral.